UGCGGGAGAUGAUUGGUAACUGAUCAGUGGUGGAGUUUGGUAAUAGGGUGAGGGUGUUUGGUAGUUUUGGGUAGGCUGAUAUGUGAUUGGAGGCAUUGGGUAUGUUGGUAUUUGAUGGGAGAUUUGGUUCUCUGUGCUACCAUCACGGCUUCUACGUCCCUUUAUUUGGACACACCGCCUGACUGUAAGGCAUUUUUUGUAGCUUGCAAAGCCUCAAAAUUCGUAACCAUACCGCUUUUGAUGCCUUCU
RNAcentral lists this long non-coding RNA (249 nucleotides) under Nicotiana benthamiana. Its description in RNAcentral is "long non-coding RNA (NBEN_LNC004651)". Lineage: Eukaryota; Viridiplantae; Streptophyta; Magnoliopsida; Solanales; Solanaceae. The record is from RNAcentral.